GGUGGGCACUGACCAAUCUGGUGUCUUCUGCAAGCGCUGCCGUCCUCAGCUGCAAGUCCUAAGGACGGUGUGUUUUGGUCAAGAAGAAGAGUGUCUGUCUCUUGGAUUUGAAAAUGGCAGGUGUGGCAGACACGGCGUUAAGGAAACAGCUGGAAUUAUCGCCUCCCUCUUCCCAAACAUUAUAGCACUGUGCAGACCCAGGCCUUUCCUCUUGUGCUUAGUGCACCGGGAAGAAUGAAGAAGUACAACAGAGAAGCGGGGACAUGUGGACACUGACGCUUCAGCGGGCCAGGCCGCUUGGGAGGCGAGGUUUUGGGGCUCUGGGACCAACAGCGGCAGGAGCAGACCCUGGGCGUCCUGGGCCAGCCCUCCCCUCGGGGUGAAGGGGAGCUCCCAUGACUUUUCCUGCAGACGUGGCUUGGAGCUUUCAGUCUCUAAAUGCUUGGGUGGCAGGGGAGUGUGGGAGCUGGGCCAGCAGAAUCUAAAUAAAUCCCCCACGAACCGUAAUGGGAACCUCGUCACUGAGUGUCUGACAGCUGUAGAAGUUAAAACAUAGAAGGACUGGUAACGGAGGUGACCUUUCAGACGUGACGUGGCUCACCACAGCCUGCAUGGCGGGUGUCCCGAGGAACUCAGAGAGGCCCGGUGGCCUGCCUGGGCCCCCCACACGAGGCCGAGACUGAGGGCUGGCUGCCCACCGGCAUUGCUGGGAACUCAUCCGUCUGCCACCUGGCUUCUGUCCCAAAAAUGGCCUUUGAGAGCCGUGCAGGGGACAGUCUGAGCACCCCGUUCACGGGUCGGCACAUCGCGGUGUUGGCCCUCCUCUGGCAGCAGGAGUAGAGGGCACAGUAGGGGGCACGCCCCGUCCUCUGGCAGUGCCACUGUGUCUGGGGAAGGCGGGGGCUCGGUGCUCCACUGCUGACACUGUGUGUACACGUGUGUAUGUGGCGCUUUUGAUUAAACACUCACGUGUGUGUCUGUGGUGAUACGUCAAGAGCUCAGGCAUG
Rhinolophus ferrumequinum (greater horseshoe bat) is the source of this 1007-nucleotide long non-coding RNA. RefSeq lists it as uncharacterized. The transcript has 3 exons. The record is from RefSeq and is a predicted model, not a curated record. Lineage: Eukaryota; Metazoa; Chordata; Mammalia; Chiroptera; Rhinolophidae.